UUGCCUACGGGAGGCAGCAGUGGGGAAUAUUGCACAAUGGGGGAAACCCUGAUGCAGCGACGCCGCGUGAGUGAGGAAGUAUUUCGGUAUGUAAAGCUCUAUCAGCAGGGAAGAAAAUGACGGUACCUGACUAAGAAGCCCCGGCUAACUACGUGCCAGCAGCCGCGGUAAUACGUAGGGGGCAAGCGUUAUCCGGAUUUACUGGGUGUAAAGGGAGCGCAGGCGGCGUGGCAAGUCAGAUGUGAAAACCCGGGGCCCAACCCCGGGAGUGCAUUUGAAACUGCCAUGCUGGAGUGCCGGAGCGG
Molecule: ribosomal RNA, 305 nt
Filed under: uncultured bacterium
Lineage: Bacteria
Description: bacterial SSU rRNA
Rfam family: Bacterial small subunit ribosomal RNA
Source: RNAcentral